AACGCCAGAUCCUUAACCCACUAAGUGAGGCCAGGGAUCGAACCGUCAACCUCAUGGUUCCUAGUUGGAUUCAUUUUUGUUGCACCACAACCAUGUUGUGCAAUUUUUUUUAAGUCAACAUACAUAAAAUUUGCCAUUUAACCAUUUUUACGUGUACAAUUCAGUGGAAUUAAGUAUACUCACAAUGUUGUACAGCCAUCACCACUAGCUCUUUCCAAAAUUUUUUUAUCACUCCAAACAGUAACUGUGCACCCAUUAAGCAAUAACUCCCUACUGCUCCCUCCCCCAGACCCUGGUAACCUUUAAAUCUAUUUUCUGUCUCUAUGAAAUUGCCUAUUCUAGAUACCUCACAUAAAUGGAAUCAGAUAUUUGCCUUUCUGUGUCUGCCUUAUUUAACUCAGCAUAAUGUCCUUAAGGUUCAUCCAUAUCACAGCAUGUGUCCAGAACCUCAUUCCUUUUUACAACUGAGUAAUAUACCAUUAUAUGUUGUGAUAUGGUGAUUUAUAUCAGGAAGUAUAUAUUUGGUUUUUGUUCCCAUUUAUAGCACAAGAGCUUUGAAAACACUUGGAAUUCUAAGUAAUGAGAGAAAUAAAGGCUUCUUCAGUGCUGUGAAUGAGGUGACUUUUGGAAUGCCCCUAGGUCACCUAAGAAUGGGGGCUGGUUGCUGGGGGAACUAACUGAUGGGAGGUUGGAAAUUUCUGUCCCAUCCCCUAUCCUCUGGGAGGGGAGAGGAUAGAAUCAUAACCAGUGUAUGUUGAUUUAAUUAAUUCUAUUUAAUGAAGUCUCCAUAAAACCCCAAAAGGACAGGGUUUGGAGAGCUUCCAGGCUCGUUUGUGUUCAUGUGGAGAUGUGAAGGAGGGUGGUGCUCCUGGAGAGGGCGCAGAAGCUCAGCACCCUGUCCCCAUACCUUGUCCUAUGCACCUCUUCUGUCUGGUUUUUCUCAGGUUAUAUCCUUUUACAAUAAACCCAUAAUCUAGUACAUAAAAGGGUUUCCCAAGUUCUGUGAACCACUCCAGCAAAUUAAUUGAACCCAAAGAGGGGACCACAGGAACCUGUGAUUCACAGCCUGUGGGUCAGGAGCACAUGGACUUGUGAUUGGCAUCUGGAGCACAGGGUAGUCUUGUAGGUCUGAGCCCCUGACCAGGGUAGGGAGUAUCAAAAUGGAGUUAAAUCGUAGGCCACCUAAGUGGCAUCAGAGCACUGUUUGUUGAGGAAGCCCCCCCCCCCUUGCUUUCUUGCCAUGAUGGAACUGGCUUCAGAACACUUUGUAUGUAUACACCACAUUUCGUCAACCAAUUCUUCUUAAUGGACACUUGAGUUGUUUUAACCUUUUGGAUAUCGUGAAUAAUGCUAUUCUGAAUGUUGGUAUAAAAAUAUCUGAGUCGGAGUUCCCAUCGUGGCGCAGUGGUUAACGAAUCCGACUAGGAACCAUGAGGUUGCGGGUUCGGUCCCUGCCCUUGCUCAGUGGGUUAACGAUCUGGCGUUGCCCUGAGCUGUGGUGUAGGUUGCAGACGCGGCUCAGAUCCUGCAUUGCUGUGGCUCUGGUGUAGGCCAGUGGCUACAGCUCCAAUUCGACCCCUAGCCUGGGAACCUCCAUACGCCGUGGGAGUGGCCCAAAAAAUAGCAAAAAGACAAAAAAAAAAAAAAAUCUGAGUCCAUUUUUUUAUUCUUUUGGGUAUGCAUGUUGGAGUUGAAUUGCUGGGUGAUAUAGUCAUUCUACAUUUAACUCUUUGAGGAACUGACAAACUCUUUUCUAUACCAGCCACACCACUGUACAUUUCCACCAACAAUGCAUGUGAAUCUCUCUCACUCCUAUUUUCUUUUUUUUUUUUUCUUUUUUGGUCAUGGCAGGCAGCAGCUUGAUGUGGGGGUCUCAACUCCAAGACCAAGGACUGAACCCAGGCCACAGUGGUGAAAGUUCCAAAUCUUAACCACUGGGCCACCAGGGAACUCCUUAAAUCCCUAAUAUUUAAGGUGAAGAAAUCAAGAUAGUUAGAUGGUUAGACCAUAUAGUCAACUGCAGAGCUGACAUCAGAAACCAAGUAUCUACACUCCCAAUCCAGUCCUCUUUCAAAGUUUAGCUCUACUAGUUAACUCAUUUAACUCAUCAUUUAACUCAGAUGAUCAGGCAAAUGGAAGCAAAGUCUACCCAAAGACUGGGCCAUUGGAAAUAGACAAAUCAAUAUAUUGGAGGAAACAAUUUGAAUUAAGUUCUGAAUUUUGCUCUCCAUAAUGGAGAGAAUUUUGUUUUAUUCUUUUCUUCUUUAGGUUUAAACUCUAGGAGAAGAUUUAGUCAUACUUACCCUUAGCCUAGAACCAAACUGUAGAAUAAUCAUAGAAACAUUUUUGUAUCAUUAUUAGUCUUACCAUUCUAAAUUAAGGGUUUUUUUUUUUUUUAAAGAAAUCCUUGAGAUGCAAUAAAUACUUAUUUUAGAGAAGUUAGAAAUUUGGAAAGGUGGAAAGGAAAAAGAAAAGGUCACUUAGCUGUCAACCAGAAAAAUAACUGUUAACUUUUCAGUACUUUUUUCCCAGGCUUCCCCCUCCCUCCAAUACAUAAGUGUUUUCGCUUGCUAUGUAUGGUUGAAAUUAUAGAAUCUUUUUUUUUUUUUGGUCACACAUGUGGCAUAUGGGCCAGGUAGGGGAUCAAACCUAUAUCACCGAAGAGACAAUGCCUUAUCCUUAACCUACUGUGCCACAGCAAGAACUCCUAGAAUCUUAAAGCUUAAGAAAAUUAUUAUAAUUUGGGGUGCAAGCUUAAAAAACAAAAUAAGGAUGGAAUUCCCUUGUGGUACAGCAGGUUAAGGAUCCAGCGUUGUCACUGCAGAAGCUCGGGUAGCUGCUGUGGCAUGGGUUUGAUUCCUGGCCUAAGAACUUUAUAUGCCAUGGGUGCAGAAAGAAAAAAAAAAACAGAAUAAGGAAAAAUUUAGUUUAGGGCCUAGGAAUGCAUGCAAAAUAGAGUCAGCACUCCUUCCUACCAAUUCACAGCCCUCACAGGCUUAGGACAUCCCUUUCGUAAGAUAAGUUUGUCCCUGGAGUUCCUGUGGUGGCACAGCAGAAACAAAUCCAACUAGGAACCAUGAGAUUGUGGGUUCAAUCUCUGGCCUUGCUCAGUGGGUUAAGGAUCUGGCGUUGCUGUGAGCUGUGGCGUAGGUCGAAGAUGCAGCUUGGCUCCAAGGUUGCUGCAGCCCUUAACUUACCUGUCCAUGUGGAAAUGUGUCAUUUACCUAAAUAAAAAAGCUCCAAGGACAUGGCCACAUGUUAUACUAGUUUGUUUCCUCCCGAAUACCACACAGAGUGCUACAAAUACAGUAGGUACUCAGCGAAGAACUUCAGAAUGACAUUACUGAUUUUAUACCAUCUUCAAGGUUAAUACUGCUCAGAAUUUCCAUAAGGGGUCCGUGACACCCAGUCUUGGCAGGAUUUCACAUUCCAAGAAAUUUGGUUCAGUUAUCAAAAGUAAUUAGAAAGUCACUUGAGGAGUUCCUGUUGUGGCUCAGUGGAAAUGAACCUGACUAGUAUCCAUGAGGAUUCAAGUUCUACCCCUGGCCUCGCUCUGGCACUGCCGGGAGCUGUGGUAUAGACUGCAGACACAGCUCAGAUCCUGUGUUGCUGUGGCUGUGGUGUAGGUCGGCAGCUAUAGCUCAGAUUAGACUCCUAGCCCAGGAAUUUCCAUAUGCUGCAGGUGCAGCCCUAAAAAGCAAAUGAUGAUGAUGAUGAUAAGUCAUUUGAAUCUUUACUUCCAUUACUUGAAUAUUAUAAGGAAAUUCAACUCGUGACCCAUAAUAGCACUUCUUAAAAUCUCUUUGUCCCCAUUUUUUUUUCACUUCAGUACAUGUCAAGUCCAUGGCUGAUUCAGGUCCCAGUCGCAAAAUCUUCACCAAAAAUUCUCUCUAAACUUCGUCUCCUGUGGUUCUCGGUUCUUUUCUUCCCCUUUCCUUUAACUUCUAUUUCUUCUUCCUUUCAGCCAAUAAAUUACAAUUGUUUGUAUCAUCUUGCCAUUCAUUCCUGUUUCUUCAACUCAGCCCCCCUCUCCUCAGUCUCUGUGCAAGGGGAGCUCAGGAAAGAAGUUGGCACACACUCUCCUGGAAGGAGACCCAGGAAUUAGGACUUCGGGGAGGUGGGGGAGAGGAGAGGGGAGAAAAAUGACACAUGCUUACAAUGUGGUGUCUUUUUUUAAUUCUCAUCACACAAAGAAAUUUUCAUAUAUUAUUUAUUCAGAGUGGGCUACAUGAAAGUUCUUUGGGGAAAAAUAGGUAAGUUGUAAAGGUAAAAUGAUGAAAUUUUCUUUGAGGAAGGAGGUCACUGCCUCUCCACCCUUUCCUCUCUAGGGUGUCAUCUUGAGGGCAUAAAAUGGCCUCAUAGAAAUGAUCUGACCUUCAUUUCUCCAAAGAUAUACAGCAGGCACAUGUAAAAAUGUCCAGCAUCACUAAUUAUUAGAGAAAUGCAAAUCAAAACUAUAAUCGGGUAUAUACUUCACUUUGGUCAGAAUGGCUAUCAUCAAAAUGUCUACAAACAAAAAAUGCUGGAGAUAGUGUGGCACAAAGGGACCCCACCUCCAGUGAUGGUGGGAAUGUAAACUGGCGUAGCUACUAUAAAGAACAGUAUAAAAGUUCCUCAAAAAACCAAAAAUAGAGUUUUCAAAGGAUCCAGCAAUCCCAUUUCCAGGCAUAUAUCCAGAGAAUACUGUAAUUUGAAAAGAUACAUGCACUUCAAUGGUUUUUGCAGCACUAUUUACAACAGCCAAGACAUGAAAACCACCUAAAUGUCCAUUGAGAGAUUAAUGGAUAAAGAAGAUGUAGUAUAUGUACAAUGAAUAUUACUCAGCCAUAAAAAAGCAUGAAAUAAUGCCAUUUGCAGCAACAUGGAUAGCCCUAGAAAUUAUCAUGCUAAGCCAAAGACAAAUAUAUCACUUACAUGUGGAAUCUUAAAAAAAAAAAAAAGAUACAAGUGAACUUAUAGACAUUGAAAACAAACUUAUGGUUACCAAAGAGGAAAGGGCAGGGUGAGGGAUAAAUUAGGAGGUUGGAAUUAACAUAUACACACUACUACACAUAAAACAGAUAAGUAACAAGGACCUACUAUACAGCACAGAGAAUGAUACUCAAUAUUUUGUAAUAAGCUACAAGGGAAAAGAAUCUGCAAAAGAAUACAAAUAUAUAUGUAUGUAUAAUGAAUCAUUAUGCUGUACACCUGAAAUGAACACAAGAGUGCAAAGCAACUACACGUAAAUAAAUAAAAGUGAUAAACCAAAACCAAAAUAGUAACCCCUCAAAAAAAAAAAAAAAA
RNAcentral lists this long non-coding RNA (5286 nucleotides) under Sus scrofa (pig). Its description in RNAcentral is "lncRNA (ENSSSCG00050048303.1)". The record is from RNAcentral. Lineage: Eukaryota; Metazoa; Chordata; Mammalia; Artiodactyla; Suidae.